Molecule: ribosomal RNA, 253 nt
Filed under: uncultured bacterium
Lineage: Bacteria
Description: partial 16S ribosomal RNA
Rfam family: Bacterial small subunit ribosomal RNA
Source: RNAcentral
UACGGGGGGGGCAAGCGUUGUUCGGAAUUACUGGGCGUAAAGAGCGCGCAGGCGGCUGGGCAAGUCCGAUGUGAAAGCUUCCGGCUUAACUGGAAAAUUGCAUCGGAAACUGCUCGGCUUGAAGGUGGGAGAGGGUAGCGGAAUUCCCGGUGUAGCGGUGGAAUGCGCAGAUAUCAGGAGGAACACCAACGGCGAAGGCAGCUCGCUGGGACGGUACUGGCGCUGAGGCGCGAAAGCGUGGGGAGCGAACAGG